Molecule: long non-coding RNA, 5671 nt
Filed under: Cinara cedri
Lineage: Eukaryota; Metazoa; Arthropoda; Insecta; Hemiptera; Aphididae
Source: RNAcentral
CUCGUAACAAUAAUUAUGAAAUAAUAUAACAAUAAUAAUAAUAUUGUAAUGAUAAUAUAAUAAAUUUAGUUCUAUGUAAACAAUAAUAGACUAUGGCGAGAAUAAUACAUAUUAUAAUUUAUAAUAUUAUUAUUAUAAUCAUAUAGCUGUAAAUAUAUAUAAUUUUUUUUUUAAAUUUAUGAAUCUAUAAUAUAUUAAGAUUAAUACAUUUUUGUCAAUAUAUUAUGUAACAAUAAUUGUUUUAAAUUGAAUUGCCUAGAUUAAAAUGCAGUUUUUUAUUUUUUUUGUUUUUUUUCUCUGUUGGAAAUUCAAACACAUUUCACUUAUGUUUAAAUAAAAUAUUUGUAAAAACAUUAUUAUCCUAUUAAUAUAUAUUUAUAUAUAUUUUUUUUUUUCAAAUAGGAAUAAAUGGAAGACAAUAUAUAAUAUAAUAAUACACUAAAAUAAUUACGAAUUAUACAAUUUUAACAGCAUCAGUAUAGUGUGAUUGAGUCGUUUUAAAAACAAAAUAACGUGAACUUAACGACUAAUAGGUGUGUGUACAUCAUGAUUCCGGUAAUUUAGAAUUUGGCGAUUGACUAUUGAAAUAAUAAUAUAAUAUCUAUAAUAACGUAAUUGAUUUUUUUUUUUUUUUUAAUUUCUCUAAUAUUGAGUUCUAUACAUAAUAAAAUAUUAAAAAUAAUACUAUUCUAUCCUAUUUAAUGACUGAGGUAUCAAGUAAUUUUUAAUAAUAUUAUGUACACAGAAUUUUACUAUACGUACUUAUUUCAGAGCCGAAUUUGACGGAGGGCACCUGUACCGGACCCCGGAGGACUUUCAGGAGAGCCCCAUUUUUUUUUUUUUUUGACGGUUUGAAAUCGCUUGCACAUAGAGACUGUAAACGUCACGUCUGCAAAGUAAGGGUAUUUAAUAAUAUAAUCGGCUUGAGUCAGGGCGGGGCCCACGGAGUUGAAAUUCAUAAAAAGAAAAUCGAAAAUUGGUGUCAGAUUAAAGCGGUUAUUUUAGAAUAUUCGAAAAUGCAAUUUAUUAAUAUACGUAGUAUUGUAUUACCUGAAGAUUUAUUACAGUUGAGUGAUUAAAAACACACCACAAAGGAAACGGCGGACUAUGUACAAUAUGAUGUGUAAAUUUGUGAACCUAACCUAUUGAAAGAAAUUCUGGAUCGUUUUAAGAGGUCUGAUGUCUAUGCGUUUUUUAGCUCGAAAAUACGCCUUAUGAGCAAAACUCUUGUGCUUCGUAGAGUGGUGCAAUUCAGACUUUCUACAAAUCGUAUUGAACUUUGUUUUUCAAUAUUCUCAUAUCAAAAUAUAUAAUACGCCUUUAAAAAAGAUCAAUUUGUAUAUAUUUUUUGUCGACUUUAUUAUACUGUUAUUUUGAAAUCUAGUAAAUAAUCAGAGUUCAAUGAAGUCUAUAGAAUAUGGUUGUUUUUCAAUUAAAAAAUAGAAGCAUGAAAAAUAUUGUGUUGACAAUGAAGUUAUACCUAUUUCCGCAUAGUAAUUUUAACCCAUAAAAACAGCCGUACUAUUUCCAUUUAAACGAUUAGUAGAUUGUGAAUAACUCUUAUUUUAUAAGGUGAACAAUAAAAUGUUAAAAAAAAAAAUAUUCAUACUAGACAAAAUGUGUAAAGCCGACCCCUUAAUGCUAAUAAUAAAAGCAUUCUAGCACUCACGUUAAACUUCGAUAAUGCUGUCGCACCUGUUACUAGGUCAACUAGUUGUUCUACCUCAAAAUCAACGGAGUUUGAUGAUAAACUUAUAAAAAGAUCACUCUAUGACAGUCAAAUUUUCUGUUCCCUGGUUUCCGUAAUGUUUAAAUCCGGCUCUGAAUUGUUCUAAUAACUCCUCUGAAGAUAGGUAUUAUAUAUUGUUGUUUUCACUAUUAUAUAUUAUUAUGUAUUCUUCAACAGUAUAUUAUUGAUGUAAUAAAUUUAAAAAAAAAACAAAAAAAAAAAAUAAUAAAAAAAAAUCAUUCUAAUUUAGAAUAUAAUUCGUACAAAAUACUAGCGAUAAAAUAUAGAAAUGUAUUAUUAUUUAUUCAAUGUUAUUUUGUUUAUUUUUUGUUUUUAUUUUUUCUUAACACCGUAAGCCUUAAUGUAUAACAUAAUAUUAUUACAAUGGACUUAAACGUUAAUUGAGUAUAAUUGAAAAAUAAAAUUUCAACUAGCUAUAAUAUUUUAUAAAUAUUAUAUAUAGGCUUAGAAUAUGUUUCGUAGCUAUUUUUGUUUGAAUUAAUUUGUAUAUAAUAUAAUAAUAUUAGUAUUGUAUGUACUGUAUAAAAAAAAAAGAAUAAAUAAAUUGCAUGAGGCUCAAGCGUUAACGUCCUCUUUGUUUUUUGGACCCACAAUAAAGCGAAAAGAAAAAAAUAUAUAUGUAUAUAUAUUUCGAAUGGUUUUUCUUUCUUUUUUUUUAUAAUACAAACAUUUUUACAUUAUUUUUAUUUAUAAUAUAUUUUCUUCCAAAAACUUUCAGCACGGGUUUAAUAUGUAACAAAUAAACAUUUUUAUGGAUAUAUUAAAAUAAACGGGCUUAUCAAGCAUCCGCUCGAACGUAAUUUACACGCUGUGCAGUAAUAUAAUAUUACUGUUCUGUUCGACAAAAAUAAUAAAACCGCAGUAGACAUCUGCAACUGUUCACACCAAUCAGUACGGUUUUGUAGGAGUUUGAGUUUCAUUAAAAAAAAAUGCGUGUAAAACGUUUUAGGUACCUAGGUAUUUAUUGAAUUUGAUUACGACGAAUAAUUUCCGAUAUUUUCUGUUCAGACCACAUGUUUUAGUUUUAGUUUCAUUCGGCGGCGGCGGUAUGAGGUUUCGGUCGGACAGUGUUAAAAGGUAAAAUGUGUUAAGGUAAAACAUCGGAUUGUCGAUUAAAAAAUAAUGCACGAGUCUACGCAACCGCAUGUAGGAGAAGUUUUGCUCUGUCGAACAUCAUUAUCAAAAAUGAACUUUACUAUAUCAUACUUUUCUUCCGCCGGGCCCUUAAUUUAUAUUUCACGUUAUCUAAUUUUACAUCGAUUAGUCGUCAGUUUCGUGGGCGCGCAUUAGUAUUUAUUUUUAUUUUUACUUUUGUACAGCUAUUUCUCUGUUCGGUUCCACGACAUAUUUUGUUUUAUGUCGGUAUACCCCGGCAUUUAGUCACUUCGAUGGUCGAUUAUCAUACGCAUACAAAUCAUGGGCGAAUUAAAAAAAAAAAAAUGAUAGAAAACUUAUCUACUCGGUAUAACGUAUUAGGACACAUACCCCAAGGACGCGGCCGGAAAUAGGAUACCUACAUAAUAUUAUAACGUAUUUUUCGUUUUAAUUUUUCGAAAUUUUCAUAAAAACAAAGGUUACACCCGUAUAUAACCCGACAUUCACCGGCACGGCGUAUAUAUUAUUGCAGGAUACGUGAUCGGCAACACAAACGUAAUAUUUUCGUAUCGAGGAAUUUCCAUUUUUAUUUUCGGAGACUAUUUUACGUGAGACUAUACCUAGCUGUAAUUUGGAAAAUAACUAUUACGCGCGUAUAAUAUUCGAUAUAUUUUCAAAAUGAUUGUUAUUAUUAUUUUUUUUUUCGUCAAAACGUGUCUAAUAUAACGAUCAGCGGCGUAGCCCGGAAUAGAGGUUAAACCUCCUUAGUGAACAUUUGAGAUUUUUACCAAUACUACGUAGUCGCAUAAUUUAAUUUGUGAUUUAAGAUAUUUUUAUUUGUAUUUUUUAAAAAAGCGUACGCCGUGCACGUCAUCUAUUUAGUGAUUUAUUGUUCCGAAAAUGUGCCCAGGAAUGAAUUUGAAUCCUGCUCGCGCCAAUGAAUGGGGUAGUUACCUAUAGUCGAACAGUAUUUAGAAUUCAAAGCGAAAUUAAAUUAACAAUAUAAUAUUAUAAAAUAAUGUUGAGUACAUGGUUUCUAUUUGAGCUUCGGCUGGUUUUCAUUAUCGCCUUUUUAUAUUCAGACUUAACCCACAACAGAGAAUUGAUUUUUUUUUUCUCUCUGAGAUUAUAUUCGGGCAUGUUUUGAAACUAAAACAAAUAAACAAUCGUUUGUGAUAAAACCGAUCAUUUUAUAACACGCCAUUAUUAGGUAAUGCGUGUAAUCCCGUAAACGAAAAUGUUAUUUCACACUUUUAAUAGUGAUAACUACAAUUAAUCUUUCAUAGGUCGUUACGUGACGUUAAUAAUACGGUUAUAAGUAUAGAAUAUCGUUACCGAUCAAAAAUACAAUCCUUAUCAUAUUUAACAUUUACUCCGUCGUAUAGUAGCGCUCUCGGUGGACCAUAGGGCUAACCGAAUGAUUUAUGAAAAUAAUAGCGGUACAGUGGCGGCGUAUUAAAUUUAAAACUAAAGAUUGCACCGAAUUGGAGUAUUCCACAGUUUUAAUAAAAUCCUCUGUAGUGAUUAUGGAGAUAGAUGCUAUGGUUGCCCAAUGAGCAAUAAUAAUAUAAAGGUACCACAAGUUUUUAACAAAAAUACAAAAAAGUCGUGUCGUACUAAUGUCACGUCAUGUUAGUAAUAUUUUAUAGGUGUAACCUUAGAUCACAUACAAUGGACAGAGCUACGGCUAAACUUCAUAUGAAACGAGUAUGCUGAAAACAUAUUAGGAGGACGUGUAGCUAAUAUGCAUGCAUCGUCCUCCUCAUAAUAGGUACCAUUAAAACCUAUACUGAAUAUUCAGUUAUACAGGGUGAUUUUUUUUAACAUGAAUCAUCAAUUAUCUCGGAGGAUUAAUAGUGAAUUAAAUUUCUGUUUUUUCUAAUCGUUAUGAAAUCGUUAAGUUUUAUUUUAAAACCAUUUUAAAUUUUUUACCCCUACUCCAUAUACCUUAAAUAAGUUCAUACUUUUGAUUUUAAAAAAGGAAUCGCCCUUUUAAACACAGAUUUGAAUAAAGAAUAUUUUUCUAGAAAUUUUGGUUUGCAUAACACUGAUAUCAGAUUCAUCAUUUAUGAGUUAUGACAGUUUAAAGUUUAGACUGGAGGAGUAGAGAAGGGUCAUAGAUAAGCAAUUUAUUACCCUUCCCUACUUCUCUGGACAAAAGGGGAGGGGGUUCCUAUUUGAAAAUCAAAAGUGUGCACUUUUCAAGGUAAAUGGAGUGGGUGUAAAAAUUAAAACUGGUUUUAAAAUAAAACAUAACGAUUAGAAAAAACAGAAAUCAAAUUCACUUAAAAUCCUCUGAGAUAAUUGUUGGCCCAUGAUAAAAUAAUCAAUCUGUUUAUUACGAUUCUGUGAUACUUCACUAGGUAGAUUGUGAUGUGUUGGAGACGCGUUUUAUUGCUUACAGUUCUAUCCAUUGUACAUUAUCUAAGGGUGUAACGCUAUAAAAUCAUAGGUAAUAGAUUAUCUAUGUAUAAAUUACCAACCCCGGUUGGGUGGUUAUUAUUAUGAUUAUUUAUAAUGGUAUACGAUUUCUAUAAUAAUGACUGUAGAAGGCACUAGCAGGAUGUGGCUUUUCAACAAUUUCGAUAAGGUCAUUCGGUGCCGUUCAACGCUAUGAUCCAAUAUAGAUCGUCGUAUGACAGUAGUAUCUACAAUAGUAUAUCCGUAGUGGCAAAUCACCAUCUAACAAUAGUUUUAUAUUUAUAUAUAUUUCAUAAGAUCAGUGAACAUUUGCCUUUUCGUUGAAAAUUAGUCUACUUGAUAAACACAAUAAUAUUAUUUGUAUCGACAGCUACAUAUAAGGUUACGUUCGUCAUUAAAAUAGAC